RNAcentral lists this ribosomal RNA (362 nucleotides) under Nocardia fluminea. RNAcentral's name for it is "bacterial SSU rRNA". It matches the Rfam family "Bacterial small subunit ribosomal RNA", at positions 395 to 767 of the family's 1533-position model. Lineage: Bacteria; Bacillati; Actinomycetota; Actinomycetes; Mycobacteriales; Nocardiaceae. The record is from RNAcentral.
CGCCGCGUGCGGGAUGACGGCCUUCGGGUUGUAAACCGCUUUUGACAGGGACGAAGCAACAAGAAAACUGUACCUGUAGAAUAAGGACCGCCCAACUACGUGCCAGCAGCCGCGGUAAUACGUAGGGUCCGAGCGUUGUCCGGAAUUACUGGGCGUAAAGAGCUUGUAGGCGGUUCGUCGCGUCGUUUGUGAAAACUUGGGGCUCAACCCCAAGCUUGCAGGCGAUACGGGCGGACUAGAGUACUUCAGGGGAGACUGGAAUUCCUGGUGUAGCGGUGAAAUGCGCAGAUAUCAAGAGGAACACCGGUGGCGAAGGCGGGUCUCUGGGAAGUAACUGACGCUGAGAAGCGAAAGCAUGGGUU